Molecule: long non-coding RNA, 95 nt
Filed under: Amphimedon queenslandica
Lineage: Eukaryota; Metazoa; Porifera; Demospongiae; Haplosclerida; Niphatidae
Description: uncharacterized LOC109586925
Source: RNAcentral
GUUCCAUUGGACUACAAUUUAAUUACCUGAUCCCUUCAAUGGAUUCACUAGACUCUAGUGUCAUUAUAGCUGGACAGAAGCUCUUUAUCCUACAA